Molecule: long non-coding RNA, 5286 nt
Organism: Prionailurus viverrinus (fishing cat)
Lineage: Eukaryota; Metazoa; Chordata; Mammalia; Carnivora; Felidae
Exons: 5
Source: RefSeq, a predicted model, not a curated record
UUUCUAGAUUUUUGCAAUCAACAGAGCUGCUUCUAAGAGAAAUGUAGAUGGAAAGAUAUGAAUCUGGAACUAUAUAUUCAUAAUUAAAUACACUGGAAGAUUUUUGACCGUUCUCAUUGGUUUACUGUUUUCUUGCUUUUUGGGGAAGAAACAAUUUCGUUGGAUUUUAGUUGACAAGGUAGUUAUCUUGGCCUCAGCAUUAUAUAUAAAUAUACAAAUUAUUUGGAGAGUUAAUGGGCAGGCCAUUUAUCUCUAAUAAAGUUUAGAUGGCUAUGCUUAAAACUGAAUUUGUGUAUCUGAGUGGGAAACAUAGCCUUUUUUCUUUUUUUUCCCUCUUGGUUGACACCUGGUGGAAAUUCAUUCUGGUUGUUCAAGUACUUGGAAUUUUGUACUAGCUUUGGUAACAGAUACUACUUGGGUUUUUUUGCCACCUAGUGGUAAAAUGGUGAAUUUGCUAAAAUGUCAGCUUCUCAGCUUUAGGGUCAAAUGAUACUUGUGAAGCAUUCAAAUGACAUUGGGCAAGAAAUGGAUUUAAAAGUGCAGUACACAAUGAGGCCUUCAUUACUAAAUUUGUUUUAAAUACCUCAGGGCUCGUGAACAAUGGCUAAAUUGUUCAGAAGUUUAAGUAAAAAUUUUCUUGUCCUAAUAUAACUUCUAUCUGAAAAAAUAAGAAUCAGUUUUUUAAAUGAACUACAAUUGCAUUUAAUCAGAAAGAACCCUAAGAGAUUUACUUGUAGUUUGGAAAGUUGUUUUACCACAUUAAAUGAUUCAUUCGUGGGGCUAUAGGGCAUUAUUCCUUCUCUUAGAAGCUUUUAGGAUAUUAUAAAUUACUGUCUUUAUUACUUACUUUGCUAUUUCUCUUUAUUUUCUCUCUGUGUCUUCAUAAACACUUCCUAAACACCUCUUAAACUAAUUGACAAGUUGCCAGGAAAUUCUUAUCCCCUGUCACUUUUACUUAAGAUUCUACUCAUUUAUCCUAAUUAUCACCUUUCUUUGAUUUGGAUUUGGUCAUAUAACUAUUUAAGUGUCUAAACUUGAGUUUACUUGCUUCAUUUUGUUUACUUUCUCCUAUUUGUUCAAACUCUGGAAACACCAGAAACAAACGAACAACAAACAAACAACCCUGGCACCUUUAAAUUCCUGUUUGUGUUUUCAGUUUUUUAAAAAUUUAUUUAUGUAAGUAAUUUCUACAUCCAGUAUGGGGCUCAAACUCACAACCAGAGAUCAAGAGUCUCAUGCUCUUCCAACUGAGCCAGCCAGAUGUCCCUUUGUUUUUGUGUCUAAAAGGAAAAAAACACUUGGACUAAAUUUUGGACUAAAUGUUUUCUCUUGUGGCAUUUGUAACCUCCCCUUUUCAAAACUCCUUGUCUAAAACUCUGCCUUUGAGAUAACUUGAAAUGUUGUACUUUAGGUGUUUUCUUGGUCUUCUGGACUUGUCUUACUGGGCCCUUAUUGUAUUUUGCAUUAAGUUUAAGCUAUUCGUCUUUACCACUAAGGCUCUUUCCUACUGCACUCCAGCCUACGUCUUGUAUGCCUUCUCCUCCUACUCCUCUGCUGACUCUCUAUACUCCUGUCAAGUGCAUCUUCUGUCCCCUUUGUUAGCCUGUCUCGCUGUUGCCAAUGUGCAGUUGCAUGCUGUUUUCUGUGCCCAGAACAACAUCUCACUGCUGUUAACUCCUUUCCCUUCUUCUAACCCCUCUACUAGACUCAGUUGGGCACAACUGAAUAAAAUUCCAAGUAGGCAGAAUAACUAGCUCCCCCUUCCCUUUUUACAACUUCUUCAGAGCUUAAGUAGAAAUCCCUCUUUAUGGUAUUUGUUCCUUGGAUUUUAAAUUCAAUGGCUGUUCCAUCUUACUGUACAAAGGAUUAAACUCAAGCUCAAGAACUCUAUCUAAAACUGACAAAUGAUGAUCACUAUCAAGAUAUUUUGUAUUCAUGUGGCUUUUCUGCAAAUGAAGAGGAAGGAGAGAAGAACCUUUUAGAAAGAGUCGCUUGAUAAAUAAGUGGCCAAUGGCAGGGGAAUGAUUGUCAAAUAGAGUCAUGAUCCCAAAAAGGAUAAGUGAUCACUCAAAAUGAAAUGAAGUGUUGGUUGCUGGCUUGGAGACAGCAGUGGCCAAUAGUUAAGAGGACAAAGCCAAUUAAGUGAACUCUUGAAAAAUCACCAAAACAUUGAACAGUGAAAUACUUAGAUUGAAAACACUACAAUAUUUGCUGUGGAGAAACAGAACUUUGUGGAUUUAUGAAUGGAAAUGAGAUAUAGCGUUCUGGAUUCUUAUAAGAGAGCAGAAAGUAUGAGCAAUGCAUCUCAGUCCUUUGUUGUGGAGGAGGAAUAUAAGAGAUGGCCGGGAUUGCUUAUUGAAGAUGAGGAAGUACCCCUCCCCCCAAGAAUGUGCAUGAUUCUGUUGCUGCUGGUGGUCAAUGAGGAUGUGAUGAUCUUCUCAUAAGUUUGUGCAGUUUUUAGUGCUGUUUAGCUUCACCUUGGUGCACUACCUCUCUGAGGAUAUGGCAGAGGAGGCACCCAUGUCUUCCUUUAGUCCUGCCUUUGGUCCAUAUCUCCCCCUCCCCCCCCCCCCCCCCCCCCCCCCUUAAAAAGCAAGCUGUCAGGUAACUCUAGGGCCUGGGCUUUCUCCUCUCUUCUCUAUAUUCUUUUGUAUUGAGUCAAACCCGGAAGUCCUCCUCUGCAUUGUCUGAUAGAUAAAGAAACUGGGAACAAGUUGGAGACUUCCUCCACCUUUUUCCUAAUUUCCCUAUAACGUGCUCUCUUUUUGUCCCGUUCUCCUGGGCUCCGUCAGCAAGUCCUCCUUCAAAAUCUCCAGAAAAUAAGGAGGCACAGUUCUUGGUGUUCAGAUAUGCUCCCAAGUUCCAAAAGACACAGGUCACAUUCUCCCUCAUACUCCCUCAUAGGGCUCACUGCACUUUGAAGGCAGGCUUCAGGUUGGUCUCUAGUUCCCUGACUCUAAAUAUUUAGCUAACUAGUAGGCUGUCAGGCUUUCUGCCUUGCCAGUCAUCACUUUCUGUAUUUCACUGAAACUCCCUCUUUACUUGACUUCUGGUGGGUUGAGGGGAACUAUUUUUCUGCCCACUUAGGGGUGUUAUGCCGGUUGGCAAUGGGAGAGGUGGUUCCUUUGCCUCUGAAUAAGUCCUCAGGGAGACUUUUGGCCUCAUUGGUUGGAGAGGCCUUUAAAAGUAUGGAAUCCUUAUACAAUUUUGUCAUCAUAUUUCAAUUAGAAUAACCAAUUCCAAGACAACAAGAAAAAUCCCAUCAACAUGCCAUUAUAAUAGCACAAAACUAAAGUAAAUGAUAUACUUCAUUCUUACAUGACAUUGUGUUAUACAAUGAAAAACAAAACAAAACAAAACAAAACACAAACUAACCCACAGGAUAUGGCAAACCAAAUUUUUCAGUACCUAAGAUUUUAAGUUAGGUAUGCUUAGAGUAGCAUUGAUUUUCAAAGAUCAUCAGAAGUAUUAUUAGUGAAAAUAUUAUAGGUGUUUUGUCUGACUUUCUCUUGGAAUAUAGCAGGUGUAAGAUAGAUGUCAGAGUGAGGGAGAGGAGUUAGGCCUAUUAUUAAAUCAUUGAUCAGUCAAGAAUAUAUCUCACUUAGUAACAGUGUUUAACUUUUUAUUAGUAGGGCUUUGAAUACAAUAAGCAAGGCUGAUGUUUAUUUAAAAACAAUAUUUUGUUUUUAAUAAACAUAUUUUCCUUUGAGACCUUCUCAAAGAUUACUUGUUAAUCUUAUGCCUCAUAGUCCCCUUAACAGAGAGGUUUGAAUAAAGAAGUAUUUUAGGUUCUGGCUUAAAUAUUAAGAUGGUUUUAAGCAUUCCCAAUGGCUAACAAGUAUAAUGAUUAUCAUUCCCAGAGCAGUACUGUCUUCAGACUUUCUCAGCUGAAUUCUUUUUGAGUGACAUUUCUGCUAUCCAUAUCCUUCUUGUUAAGAACUCAAUAAUGGACUAGGUUAAUUAGAGAUAGGUAAUCUUACCUUGUGUUAAUCAUCCUUCUGUUAGAAUAAAUUAACCUUUUAGCUCCUAUUUUCUGGAAUUCCCAGCCUCCGUAGACACUGUUCUCGAGGCAUUAGAUAGCCUCAUGAAAUUUUAAACUCAUUUGAAUUUAGAAAUAUCCAUUUCUGAUAGAGUUAUUAAGCUUAAUAAUCACAGAGAUUUACUCUGAGAUCAUUGAAGAUUAGCCUAAUUCAGGUACUUUAUAGGCUUGUUUUUUCCUAGCUGUGUGAUUUGGGGAGAUGUGGUUAUCAUCUCUGAGUUUUCAUUUCCUGACUCAAAGAAUGGGAAUCAAUAUUAUUCACUGAAAUUAUAGAAAUCAAAUGGGUUAACACCUAUAGUGGAUUCUGAAAUGCACUACUGUAAUGUUUGGUACUGGGAGUAUUAUUUUGAAAUAUAGUCAAGUCAGAAGAUUUCACUUUUUGUCCUCUUGGUGUUAACUGUUCACUAAUAUCCUGGAUUCUUUUCCCUGGCUCCCUUGAAUCAUUGUCAAAGAACAAAAUAAUGGCAAAAAGUUGUGGCAGUGGGCAUUCUGACCACUUGUCGCUCCCAUAAUUCUUUCGUACAUGUGUAGCCCAGGCAGAUUUAUGUCAGUCCACCGAAGAAUAGAGCACAUUGGGAGUCACAGUGGAGAUUCACAACACCCCAUGACAAACUGAAAAACAAGCAUGUGUUAAAAUAAAUCUAUUAACAAUGAAAAUGUAAGUUUGUCUGCUUUUAAAAGGCAAAAUAAUGCAGUGAAUUUCAGAGGUAAUUUAGGAAAUAUUCAAACAUUUGGCUUUAGUUAGAAAGGUGGGAAAAUAUAUCAGAACUAGAUUCCAUUUGGGCAGGGUUUAUCCUUCUCAUCCUGAGUUUGAGCCAAAAAUCCUCAGUUUUGACUAGUUUUAAAUGUUUCUCCAAAUUUGGGCAGAGCCUUUUGCCUAUUUAGAGAUAGAUGCUGCUUAGUUCAACAUCAGAUAAGGGGGAUGGAGGCUCAUGUAUAUCAGGACCCACCAAAAUCAAAGAGCAGAAAAAGGUCACAGGGUAGACAAUGGUAUGUUUGUGGAUAGAGGGGCACCACUAGUGAGUAAAUGAAUACCUCAUGAGGUGGAAGAUAUCCCAUCAUUAAAGUUUCUCUUGGGCAAAGAAUGUAUUUAGAAAAAUUACUUGAUAAGCUACUGGUGGGUAGUUUGAUAAUAACUGAGUUGGUAAAACUUUGAGAAUAUAGGCACUUGCAUUUAUUUCUGUUUCAAGUAUAAAUCAAUACCACUCCUUAGGAGGGAAAUGUAAUAAUGUUUAUCAAAAUUACAA